This 254-nucleotide ribosomal RNA is filed under the name uncultured bacterium. Its description in RNAcentral is "partial 16S ribosomal RNA". It matches the Rfam family "Bacterial small subunit ribosomal RNA", at positions 524 to 776 of the family's 1533-position model. The record is from RNAcentral.
UACGGGGGGAGCAAGCGUUGUUCGGAUUUACUGGGCGUAAAGGGCGCGUAGGCGGCCACCGCAAGUCAAUUGUGAAAUCUCCGGGCUUAACUCGGAAAGGUCAACUGAUACUGCGGGGCUAGAGUGCGGAAGGGGCAACUGGAAUUCUCGGUGUAGCGGUGAAAUGCGUAGAUAUCGAGAGGAACACCUGCGGCGAAGGCGGGUUGCUGGGCCGACACUGACGCUGAUGCGCGAAAGCCAGGGGAGCGAACAGG